GGUAGUGUGGCCGAGCGGUCUAAGGCGCUGGAUUAAGGCUCCAGUGUCUCGUGAGGCAUGGGUUCAAAUCCCACCACUAUCA
Molecule: non-coding RNA, 82 nt
Organism: Hippocampus zosterae (dwarf seahorse)
Lineage: Eukaryota; Metazoa; Chordata; Actinopteri; Syngnathiformes; Syngnathidae
Source: the annotation of a RefSeq genome assembly